Molecule: non-coding RNA, 200 nt
Organism: Prunus avium (sweet cherry)
Lineage: Eukaryota; Viridiplantae; Streptophyta; Magnoliopsida; Rosales; Rosaceae
Source: RefSeq, a predicted model, not a curated record
UAACAGAGCCACAAUCGUGACUCUCGACCUCCGUCGUCGACUUCCACCACGAAGCCACGACACCUUCAUCUUCGAUCUUCACUGUGUCUAUACAAUCCUCAAGGUUGGUAUCAUGCCAAGGUUGUGUUGGUGCCGUGAAAAGGGUUCUUGGAAAACUUGAAGAUGGAAGAUUGUCUUGUUUCAAGUGGCGGCGUUCUUUU